UUUGUCCUACGGGAGGCAGCAGUGGGGAAUAUUGCACAAUGGGGGAAACCCUGAUGCAGCGACGCCGCGUGGGUGACGAAGUAUUUCGGUAUGUAAAGCCCUAUCAGCAGGGAAGAAAAUGACGGUACCUGACUAAGAAGCCCCGGCUAACUACGUGCCAGCAGCCGCGGUAAUACGUAGGGGGCAAGCGUUAUCCGGAUUUACUGGGUGUAAAGGGAGCGUAGGCGGCAAGGUAAGCCAGAAGUGAAAGCCCGCGGCUCAACUGCGGGACUGCUUUUGGAACUAUCUAGCUAGAUGGAAGGAGG
This 305-nucleotide ribosomal RNA is filed under the name uncultured bacterium. RNAcentral's name for it is "bacterial SSU rRNA". It matches the Rfam family "Bacterial small subunit ribosomal RNA", at positions 333 to 655 of the family's 1533-position model. The record is from RNAcentral.